CCUACGGGAGGCAGCAGUGAGGAAUAUUGGACAAUGGGCGCAAGCCUGAUCCAGCCAUGCCGCGUGCAGGAAGAAGCAUCUAUGGUGUGUAAACUGCUUUUGUACAGGAAGAAACACUCCCUCGUGAGGGAGCUUGACGGUACUGUAAGAAUAAGGACCGGCUAACUCCGUGCCAGCAGCCGCGGUAAUACGGAGGGUCCGAGCGUUAUCCGGAAUCAUUGGGUUUAAAGGGUCCGUAGGCGGUUUAAUAAGUCAGUGGUGAAAUCUGGUCGCUCAACGAUCAAACGGCCAUUGAUACUGUUAGACUUGAAUUAUAAGGAAGUAACUAGAAUAUGUAGUGUAGCGGUGAAAUGCUUAGAUAUUACAUGGAAUACCAAUUGCGAAGGCAGGUUACUACUUAUGGAUUGACGCUGAUGGACGAAAGCGUGGGGAGCGAACAGGAUUAGAUACCCUGGUAGUCCACGCCGUAAACGAUGGAUACUAGNUGUCGUAGACAUCUGUAGUGGUGUAGACGAAGUAGAGUAAGUAUACCACCGUACGGGAGGUACGGUUCGUCGAAGAAGAGAACGUAACGAAGAAGUUAGUAGGACGUGAGACGUAGACGACGGACGACGACGAGGGAGGAGG
Molecule: ribosomal RNA, 627 nt
Filed under: uncultured bacterium
Lineage: Bacteria
Description: partial 16S ribosomal RNA
Rfam family: Bacterial small subunit ribosomal RNA (bases 1-535)
Source: RNAcentral